This 251-nucleotide ribosomal RNA is filed under the name uncultured bacterium. RNAcentral describes it as "partial 16S ribosomal RNA". It matches the Rfam family "Bacterial small subunit ribosomal RNA", at positions 63 to 339 of the family's 1533-position model. The record is from RNAcentral.
CGAACGGGCAUAGCAAUAUGUCAGUGGCAAACGGGUGAGUAAUACAGAGGAAUCUACCUAGCAGUAAGGAAUAACCCUGGGAAACCAGAGCUAAUGCCAUAUAUUACCCUUCGGGGGAAAGAUUUAUCGCUGUUAGAUGAGCCUCUGCCGGAUUAGCUAGUUGGUAGGGUAAUGGCCUACCAAGGCAAUGAUCCGUAGCUGGUCUGAGAGGAUGAUCAGCCACACUGGGACUGAGACACGGCCCAGACUCC